This 474-nucleotide ribosomal RNA is filed under the name uncultured bacterium. RNAcentral describes it as "partial 16S ribosomal RNA". It matches the Rfam family "Bacterial small subunit ribosomal RNA", at positions 28 to 507 of the family's 1533-position model. The record is from RNAcentral.
GAUGAACGCUAGCGGCAGGCCUAACACAUGCAAGUCGAGGGAGGAGCUUUCGGGCUUCGACCGGCGUACGGGUGCGUAACGCGUAUACAAUCUGCCUUUCACAUAGGGAUAGCCCGAAGAAAUUUGGAUUAAUACCUAAUGGUAUAUAGGAGUGGCAUCACAUUUAUAUUAAAGCUGAGGCGGUGAAAGAUGAGUAUGCGUUCUAUUAGCUAGUUGGAGAGGUAACGGCUCCCCAAGGCGACGAUAGAUAGGGGUUCUGAGAGGGAUAUCCCCCACACUGGUACUGAGAUACGGACCAGACUCCUACGGGCGGCAGCAGUGCGGAAUAUUGGACAAUGGUCGGAAGCCUGAUCCAGCCAUGCCGCGUGCAGGAAGACGGCCUUAUGGGUUGUAAACUGCUUUUGCAGGGGAAGAAUAAGGACUACGAGUAGUUUGAUGACGGUACUCUGCGAAUAAGCAUCGGCUAACUCCGUG